Molecule: ribosomal RNA, 492 nt
Filed under: uncultured bacterium
Lineage: Bacteria
Description: partial 16S ribosomal RNA
Rfam family: Bacterial small subunit ribosomal RNA
Source: RNAcentral
AGUGAACGCUGGCGGUAGGCCUAACACAUGCAAGUCGAACGGCAGCACAGUAAGAGCUUGCUCUUACGGGUGGCGAGUGGCGGACGGGUGAGGAAUACAUCGGAAUCUACUUUUUCGUGGGGGAUAACGUAGGGAAACUUACGCUAAUACCGCAUACGACCUACGGGUGAAAGCAGGGGAUCUUCGGACCUUGCGCGAUUGAAUGAGCCGAUGUCGGAUUAGCUAGUUGGCGGGGUAAAGGCCCACCAAGGCGACGAUCCGUAGCUGGUCUGAGAGGAUGAUAAGCCACACUGGAACUGAGACACGGUCCAGACUCCUACGGGAGGCAGCAGUGGGGAAUAUUGGACAAUGGGCGCAAGCCUGAUCCAGCCAUACCGCGUGGGUGAAGAAGGCCUUCGGGUUGUAAAGCCCUUUUGUUGGGAAAGAAAAGCAGCAGGUUAAUACCCCGCUGUUCUGACGGUACCCAAAGAAUAAGCACCGGCUAACGUCGUG